This 253-nucleotide ribosomal RNA is filed under the name uncultured bacterium. Its description in RNAcentral is "partial 16S ribosomal RNA". It matches the Rfam family "Bacterial small subunit ribosomal RNA", at positions 524 to 776 of the family's 1533-position model. The record is from RNAcentral.
UACGUAGGUGGCAAGCGUUGUCCGGAUUUACUGGGCGUAAAGAGCGCGCAGGCGGUCGGAUCAGUCGAAUGUGAAAGCCCCCGGCUCAACUGGGGAGGGUCAUUCGAUACUGUCCGACUCGAAGGCAGGAGAGGGAAGCGGAAUUCCCGGUGUAGUGGUGAAAUGCGUAGAUAUCGGGAGGAACACCAGUGGCGAAGGCGGCUUUCUGGCCUGUUCUUGACGCUGAGGCGCGAAAGCUAGGGUAGCAAACGGG